This is a small nucleolar RNA of Tupaia belangeri (northern tree shrew), 104 nucleotides long. Lineage: Eukaryota; Metazoa; Chordata; Mammalia; Scandentia; Tupaiidae. The record is from Ensembl.
AUCCCGCUGUGGUAUAUAAACACGCUGAUUAGGUUUUCAAGUUGUUGUAUAAGAUGUACCUCCCUCAAACCUUGCUAUGAUGUUAGAACAUUACUUAUUUGAUG